RNAcentral lists this non-coding RNA (23 nucleotides) under Rattus norvegicus (Norway rat). Lineage: Eukaryota; Metazoa; Chordata; Mammalia; Rodentia; Muridae. The record is from RNAcentral.
UAGUGGUGAAGCUGUUUUCCUUG